Molecule: ribosomal RNA, 148 nt
Filed under: Cercozoa sp.
Lineage: Eukaryota; Cercozoa
Description: partial small subunit ribosomal RNA
Rfam family: Eukaryotic small subunit ribosomal RNA
Source: RNAcentral
UAGUUGGUGGAGUGAUUUGUCUGGUUAAUUCCGUUAACGAACGAGACCUCAGCCUGCUAAAUAGUUUGACGAACACUUGUGUUCGCAUCAAAAGCUUCUUAGAGGGACUUUCUGUAUCUAGCAGACGGAAGUUUGAGGCAAUAACAGG